Molecule: ribosomal RNA, 513 nt
Filed under: uncultured bacterium
Lineage: Bacteria
Description: bacterial SSU rRNA
Rfam family: Bacterial small subunit ribosomal RNA
Source: RNAcentral
UAGAGUUUGAUCAUGGCUCAGAUUGAACGCUGGCGGCAUGCUUUACACAUGCAAGUCGAACGGCAGCACGGGUGCUUGCACCUGGUGGCGAGUGGCGAACGGGUGAGUAAUAUAUCGGAACGUAUCCGGAAGUGGGGGAUAGCUCGGCGAAAGCCGGAUUAAUACCGCAUAUGCCCUGAGGGGGAAAGUGGGGGACCGUAAGGCCUCACGCUUUCGGAGCGGCCGAUAUCAGAUUAGCUAGUUGGUGGGGUAAAGGCCUACCAAGGCGACGAUCUGUAGCGGGUCUGAGAGGAUGAUCCGCCACACUGGGACUGAGACACGGCCCAGACUCCUACGGGAGGCAGCAGUGGGGAAUUUUGGACAAUGGGCGAAAGCCUGAUCCAGCCAUGCCGCGUGAGUGAAGAAGGCCUUCGGGUUGUAAAGCUCUUUCAGACGGGAAGAAACGGACACGGAUAAUACCCGUGUCUAAUGACGGUACUGUCAGAAGAAGCACCGGCUAACUACGUGCCAGCA